GGAAGUAAAAGUCGUAACAAGGUCUCCGUUGGUGAACCAGCGGAGGGAUCAUUACGAAAAGAGUAUUCUGUACUCGCAACCCUUUGUGAACCUUACCUUUUGUCUGUUUCUUCGGCGGGUGGCCCCUGGGAGGGGCCCCGGGGCCCGGCCAGAGCCGGGUGCCCGCCGGAGGGACACAACCAAAACUCUUGUUGUACCUCAGUGGCACCUCCGAGUCAAUUACAAAAACAAGUUAAAACUUUCAACAACGGAUCUCUUGGUUCUGGCAUCGAUGAAGAACGCAGCGAAAUGCGAUAAGUAAUGUGAAUUGCAGAAUUCAGUGAAUCAUCGAAUCUUUGAACGCACAUUGCGCCCGCCAGUAUUCUGGCGGGCAUGCCUGUUCGAGCGUCAUUUCAACCCCUCAGGCCCUGGUGCCUGGCGUCGGGGCGUUCCCUCGCGGGAAGCCCCCAGAGACAGUGGCGGACCAGUCGCGGCUCCGAGCGCAGUAGUAACAUUCUCGCUUAGGAGGUCUGCGGCGGGCUCCCGGCCGUAAAACCCGGACCCCUCACAGGGCCGACUUCUCAAGGUUGACCUCGGAUCAGGUAGGAAUACCCGCUGAACUUAAGCAUAUCAAUAAGCGGAGGA
Molecule: ribosomal RNA, 624 nt
Filed under: uncultured fungus
Lineage: Eukaryota; Fungi
Description: eukaryotic LSU rRNA
Rfam family: 5.8S ribosomal RNA (bases 237-390)
Source: RNAcentral